GAUGAAGAACGUAGCGAAAUGCGAUAAGUAGUGUGAAUUGCAGAAUUCAGUGAAUCAUCGAAUCUUUGAACGCACAUUGCGCCCCUUGGUAUUCCAUGGGGCAUGCCUGUUCGAGCGUCAUUUGUACCCUCAAGCUUUGCUUGGUGUUGGGUGUUUGUCCCGCGUUGCGCGUGGACUCGCCUUAAAGCGAUUGGCAGCCGGCAUAUUGGCCUUGGAGCGCAGCACAUUUUGCGCUUCUAGUCAUGAAUGUUGGCGUCCAUUAAGCCUAUACAUUUGCUCUUGACCUCGGAUCAGGUAGGGGUACCCGCUGAACUUAAGCAUAUCAAUAAGCGGAGGA
RNAcentral lists this unclassified non-coding RNA (337 nucleotides) under soil metagenome. RNAcentral describes it as "partial contains 5.8S ribosomal RNA, internal transcribed spacer 2, and large subunit ribosomal RNA". The stretch from base 1 to 120 matches the Rfam family "5.8S ribosomal RNA", at positions 35 to 154 of the family's 154-position model. The record is from RNAcentral.